RNAcentral lists this transfer RNA (71 nucleotides) under Iotrochota birotulata (green finger sponge). Its description in RNAcentral is "tRNA-Met". It matches the Rfam family "tRNA". From Rfam's summary of the family: Transfer RNA (tRNA) molecules are approximately 80 nucleotides in length. Their secondary structure includes four short double-helical elements and three loops (D, anti-codon, and T loops). Lineage: Eukaryota; Metazoa; Porifera; Demospongiae; Poecilosclerida; Iotrochotidae. The record is from RNAcentral.
GGUAGAGUAGACCUAAGGAAGGUUAUUGGGUUCAUGGUUCAAGGUAGUAGGUUCGAUUCCUAUCUUUACCA